GCUAGUAAUCGCGGAUCAGAAUGCCGCGGUGAAUGCGUUCCCGGGUCUUGUACACACCGCCCGUCACACCAUGGAAGUUGGAGGUGCCCAAAGCCGGCAGGGAAAUAUGCUGUCUAAGGCAAAACCAAUGACUGGGGUGAAGUCGUAACAAGGUAAC
RNAcentral lists this ribosomal RNA (157 nucleotides) under uncultured bacterium. RNAcentral describes it as "partial 16S ribosomal RNA". It matches the Rfam family "Bacterial small subunit ribosomal RNA", at positions 1334 to 1500 of the family's 1533-position model. The record is from RNAcentral.